AUGAUCAGCUGAUUUGAUUAUUAAAUGAACCCACCAUGACCUGUGACCAGGCUGAAGCUCUUACUGAAAGUGAGUGAGGGAGUUUCUGCAUGACGGGGUGUUUCUCGGAACUGAAGACGAUUUGCUCUGUAGCGUACUUUAACCAUUUUUUUGUGGUGUGAUCUCGAGUCCAAAUUCCACCCGUGUCUCCAAAUACUGGACAGAAUCCUGUGGAAAAAACCCAAACAAACAAACAUGUGCAUUGCAAAACUGGGCUUUCAAAACUGUAUAUAAAGCUGAGCCACUUUUGGGGGGCAAAUACUGAGAUUUCAGACACUUGGCUGAAGAAAACGUCCUUACGGCUUUGUGAUCGUAAAGAGUAGGCUCUUUAAGAAGCAUCAUCAUGGCGUUGUGUCGGUUUGGCCUGGUUUUGCAGUUGGUGUUGUGUGUCGCACUGCCUGCUGAAGCCCAGCCUCCUGAUGUGAAGCUUCGCUACCAAAACUUCCUGAAUCAGCAUGUUUAUCCUACAAUGACUGAGGCUCAGUGUACCAGCGUGAUUGGAUUCAGGGAAAUCACUGAUGGGAACACCAACAACUGCAAAGAAGUGAAUACCUUCAUAAAGGCCAAUAUAAAAGAUAUCAUUCCCGUGUGUGGGGGCGCCACGGGUCGUUUUACAAGCGGUCAAGGUUUCCCUGUGGUCACUUGCAAGCUACACUCUGGAGAAAGACGGCCAAGGUGUGACUACGGCAAAAAAGGUCAUAAGAGCACUCGAUACAUUACAAUAGCAUGUGAUCAGGGUUGGCCCGUGCAUUACCAGGAAGACACAGUUGUUGUAGGCUGAAAUUUUCAAAAGUCAGAUGUUUACUGAUGCUCUUAAAAGUACCUAUCCAAUCAAUCUGCAGCUAAACUAAUGUUUAACGAUCCUGAUUGAUCUGAUUUUAAUUUAAAAAAAUUUUUUUACUUCAGUGAAUCUCUGAGGUGGUUGUGUCGAAGCCAGAAAAAUAUUUGAAUCAUUUAUUUCUAGAAUCUUUUAUUUCUCUGUAUUAACUACAUUAUACGUUUUCCAGAUGUUUCACUCACAUACUGUUUUUGUUCAGGUGGUUUUUGUUCAUUGUGGUAACACACCUUUUAAAUUGGACGGGGUCAGGGGGAUAAAAAAAACAAAACAAUCAUAGGAUAAUUUAAACGUAUGGGUUAAAUAUAUAGUUUCUAUGCAUUUUAAUUUAUAUUCAAUUCUUUGUUGAAAAAAAAAAUUAAAUAAACAAAUGCAGUUUCAA
Long non-coding RNA from Ictalurus furcatus (blue catfish), 1256 nucleotides. RefSeq lists it as uncharacterized. Lineage: Eukaryota; Metazoa; Chordata; Actinopteri; Siluriformes; Ictaluridae. The record is from RefSeq and is a predicted model, not a curated record. The transcript is spliced from 2 exons.